GUGCACUCGGACCUUCCGCGCGCCAGACCCCGCCCCUCGGAGGCCCCGCCCAGGGCGCGCAGCCAGGGGUUUCCAUGGUGAUGGUAAACAAGCCUCAACUGCCUCAGCUACAACUGCCAAGUUCCCCGCGUUCCACCCUCCUCUAGGUGCUCAGAGGGACGAUCGAGGUGCCGGAUGUGAAGAGCGGGAGCGUGGAGACUCGGAGCCCGAGGACAGUUCGUUACCUACCAGGAGUGUCUCCGACUGUGGGCAUCCCCUCCCUGGGUUGUUCUUUAAGCCACAAAAAGCUGCACCCAAGCUUGUUUGAC
Molecule: long non-coding RNA, 308 nt
Filed under: Ursus maritimus (polar bear)
Lineage: Eukaryota; Metazoa; Chordata; Mammalia; Carnivora; Ursidae
Description: lncRNA (ENSUMAG00000016464.1)
Source: RNAcentral